CACAAAUGGGCGGCCAUUGGAUGUGGGACACGCCAAGAACUGGCAGCCAUUGGAGAUUUGGACAACCCAAGAUGGCGGCUAUUGGUGACACAAGAUGGCGGCCAUUGGGUUUGGACACCCAAGAUGGCGGCCAUUGGUGACACAAGAUGGCGGCCAUUGGCUUUGGACACCCAAGAUGGCGGCCAUUGGAUUUGGACACCCAAGAUGGCGGCUAUUGGUGACACAAGAUGGCGGCCAUUGAACAUGGACACUCAAGAUGGCGGCAUUGAAAAUUGGAAUAUUAGCUUUGGGGACAACAAGAUGGCGGCCAUUGGUGACACAAGAUGGCGGCCAUUGGCUUUGGACACCCAAGAUGGCGGCCAUUGCCAUUGGAUAUUGGCUUUGGUGACACAAGAUGGCGGCCAUUGGCUUUGGACACCCAAGAUGGCGGCCAUUGGUGACACAAGAUGGCAGCCAUUGGCUUUGGACACUGAAGAUGGCGGCCAAUGGACCCAUCAGAAAGCCAAUAUGGUCAUAAAUUGGACCCAAUCGAGAAACCAAUUGGACCCAUCAGAACCCUUGGGACCCAUCAGAACCCAUUGGGACCCAUCAAACCAAAUUGGACCAUCAGAACCAUUGGACCCAUCAGAACCGAAUUGGGACCAUCAGAACGCCAUUGGACCAUCAGAACCAAUUGGACCCAUAUCAAAGCAACCAAUUGCGGUCAGCAAUGGACCCAGUCAGCCCCAUUGGACCCAUCAGAACCAAUUGGACCCAUCAGAACCAAUUGGGACCCAUCAGAACCCAUUGGACCCAUCAGAACCAAUUGGGACCCAUCAGAACCCAUUGGGCCCAUCAGAACCCAUUGGACCCAUCAGAACCAAUAUUGGGUCAGCAUUGGACCCAUCAGAACCCAUUGGACCCAUCAGAACCCAUUGGGACCCAUCAGAACCCAUUGGGACCCAUCAGAACCAAUUGGGACCCAUCAGAACCAAUAUUGGGUCAGCAUUGGACCCAUCAGAACCCAUUGGGACCCAUCAGACCCAUUGGGACCCAUUCAGAAUCCAAAUUGGACCAUCAGAAAACCCAUUGGACCCAUCAGAACCAAUUGGACCCAUCAGAACCAAUUGGACCCAUCAGAACCCAAUAUUGGGUCAGCAUUGGACCCAUCAGAACCAAUUGGACCCAUCAGAACCAAUUGGGACCCAUCAGAACCAAUUGGACCCAUCAGAACCCAUUGGACCCAUCAGAACCAAUUGGACCCAUCAGAACCCCAUUGGACCCAUGCAAACCAAUAUUGGGUCAGCCAUUUGGACCCCAAUCAGAACCCAUUGGGACCCCAUCAGAACCCAUUGGACCAUCAGAACCAAUUGGGAACCCAUCAGACCAUAUGGACCAUCAGAACCAAUUGGACCCAU
Molecule: long non-coding RNA, 1397 nt
Filed under: Coturnix japonica (Japanese quail)
Lineage: Eukaryota; Metazoa; Chordata; Aves; Galliformes; Phasianidae
Description: lncRNA (ENSCJPG00005000236.1)
Source: RNAcentral